Molecule: ribosomal RNA, 779 nt
Filed under: uncultured Bacillota bacterium
Lineage: Bacteria; Bacillati; Bacillota
Description: bacterial SSU rRNA
Rfam family: Bacterial small subunit ribosomal RNA
Source: RNAcentral
CGUAAAGGGAGCGCAGGCGGUUGGAAUAGUCUGAUGUGAAAGCCCACGGCUUAACCGUGGAAGGUCAUUGGAAACUGUCCAACUUGAAUACAGAAGAGGUAAGUGGAAUUCCAAGUGUAGCGGUGAAAUGCGUAGAUAUUUGGAGGAACACCAGUGGCGAAGGCGACUUACUGGUCUGUAAUUGACGCUGAGGCUCGAAAGCGUGGGUAGCAAACAGGAUUAGAUACCCUGGUAGUCCACGCCGUAAACGAUGAGUGCUAAGUGUUAGGGGGUUUCCGCCCCUUAGUGCUGGAGUUAACGCAUUAAGCACUCCGCCUGGGGAGUACGGCCGCAAGGCUGAAACCCAAAGGAAUUGACGGGGACCCGCACAAGCGGUGGAGCAUGUGGUUUAAUUCGAAGCAACGCGAAGAACCUUACCAGCUCUUGACAUCAUCUGACCACCCUAGAGAUAGGGCUUUCCCUUCGGGGACAGAUAGACAGGUGGUGCAUGGUUGUCGUCAGCUCGUGUCGUGAGAUGUUGGGUUAAGUCCCAUAACGAGCGCAACCCUUAUUGUUAGUUGCCAGCAUUCAGUUGGGCACUCUAGCGAGACUGCCGGUGAUAAACCGGAGGAAGGUGGGGAUGACGUCAAAUCAUCAUGCCCCUUAUGAGCUGGGCUACACACGUGCUACAAUGGACGGUACAACGAGUUGCGACCCCGCAAGGGUGAGCGAAUCUUAAUAAGCCGUUCUCAGUUCGGAUUGUUCUCUGCAACUCGAGAGCAUGAAGCCGGAAUCGCUAG